GAUUUGUAAAUCUGUGCUUCAUUUGCAUUUUUGAUUUCCCUCAUUUGCAUUCCUCUUUCGAAAAAAGAAUGUAGUCUAGACACACCCAAUGACUAUUAGCUGAUUUCCUUUAAUUUAAACUUCAAUUCCAUGAAUGAACACCAAGCCUAUAUACGAUGUUGAAAUUUAAGGACUAAUCACCGUUCCUUUCUCCAAAUACUCAAAUUAAUAUUACAAAUGUAACUUAUACUUGACACUGACACAGUUUUGUUUUGAAGUUAAAUAGUUUAGUUGUGCAUGAUAGUAAAAAAAAAAAAUUUCAAACAUCAGUGGCCAAUUGUCUCUGAAGAAAGGUGCUAUAAAUGUAGAAUAAUUAAAAAUGGUAAGAGCAAUACGGGUCACAUUCAUUUGCCGAUCACUAGCUAAUGGUAUGAUCCAAAUUUGGUAGGCGGUAUUGAACUUGGUGAAUCUCAUCUGUGCCAUUUUUAGAAAUGUGUCAAUUGCAGAAAGUCUAUUGGAUCAUUUGAGGGAUGAGUCUAAAUUGUCAUGUUUGUUUCUUGGAAAGCAAAGCUACAGCUUAUGAGCAAAUUAUCAAUUUGGUAACCGUUGGAGGGAUUUACGGGAAGGAGCUUUUCCUCUCCAGAACAUACAAGCAGCAAUGAAAAUGAAAAAAGUUGGUACGCCUGCGGAGAGUGAAAGCCAUCACAUUAAGUGGCACCAUCAAGAUCCAGCUUUUAGGCUGAUAUUUUUUAUGAAGUUAAAAAUAACACAUUGUGUUGAUAUGAAAACAUAACUAUCUUCUGAGCCUGUAAACGUCACCAUGUUGCAGUAAGAAAUCUGCCGUAGUAGUGUGUGCCAUUUUUCAGUGGUGUGACACAACAAUUCUGUGUCCACACAAAUGCCUGCCUUCAAUGUUGGUUUUUGCUAUUUGUUUUGAAGGUUAAGAAAGGGGGCUUGAUCCACCUGCAAGUCACAUUAUGGAAGGGGGGCCAAGGGAGGAUAGAGAGUAAAACAACCAGAUGAAUUACAAGUUGAUACAUCAAGAGGUUUGUAAAAAAAACUACUCCACCACAAUUCAAACUGUUUGUAACAUGAGACAAUGGUGACCGGGCAGCCACCACCAGCUUCCCCAGGGCUGGAGCUGCAGCCGGGCAGUGGUGCAGUUUAGAAUGGCUUUCCUAAGCUACUUAUACUUCUAAGUCAUUAACAGAGCAGUUAAAAUUGAAACACAAAAAUACCAAUCAAAAAUUAACUCAGCACUAACUCCAAAUUAAACACACCCCCACACCUCAGUCCCAUUCUCACAUGGAUUUCACAAAAUUUUAGUCCUUUUAUCAUUUAAUUCACAAACACAAGGUCAUCUGCUUGUCUUGUAACAACUGCUUAUUUUAGUUUCUGAAAAUUGAAUGCAAUAAAAAUCUCACUUUUUAUGUCCACUGCAAGCUUCAGAGUCUGUCAACUGCAGCAGCCUCUGCAAGGUGCAUGCUAAACUGCAAGUACUUAUGUUGUAAACUGCCAAUUUAUUCACAACUGCACUGAUGUUUUCUUUUUUUGUCAGCAGUCUUGCCACCUGUUUUUUUUACACAUUCUCCCUUGUGAAAAAAAUGUGUCCACAUCAGAGUUGUCAAAUGUUAACCGGUUGAUCAGCUACACUAUUACAUCUCUAGCCACCAUCCCUCUGUGCAGAACCAAUAAGGCUAUAGAUCUGGUGCAUCUCCCACAUCAUGACAUCAUUACUGCACACAGUGAUAUUUGCUUUGGUGGAAGAAAACAUGAAGACAACUAUGAAAUGGUCUGGAGGUAUAUUUGAAGAUUUUUAAUUGGCUGUAGACACUUUCAUAGCACAUGUGCAUGCACACACAAAAUCUGUGGCCUAAAAAUGAAUAUCUGCGCUAUCUAUGUGUGGAUAACUAAUUUCUUAUCUGAUUUGUAGAGACAAGAGCUUCAUGGAGCUGUGACUUGUACAAAUAUUACCUUUAUACAAAUUCUACUAUAAACAGACAUACCGUGUAUUUUCAGAAAAAGUUGGGUAUUUCAAAGGUGGAUAUGAUGGUUAUCAUUUUUUUUCUGAUAGAAAACCUAAAACUAGACCACGAUCUCUUCCUACCUCAUAAGUUUCCAUGACCUUUGUGGUAUUUGACUCGCUCCUGAGCUUCUCAGAAACCAGAGCGACACUUUGCCAUCUGUACCAGAACACCACUGUUGUGGUAGAUCUGUGCUUCCUAGUAUAUGCAAUUCCCAUUAGAAUGAAAAGCUCUUCCUAAGUAAUUGCUUUGAUCGGAUGGAUUGCUUGGGGGGGAGGGAAGGAGAGGAAAAGAGUGUUAAGUCAAAAUACUCAUUUGCAAAUUUGUCAUUACUCCAUUAUAUUUGUUUUUCUGGCAGAAUAAAUCAUUGUCUUUUGAUGUUGUUGUUGUUUGGGGGGCAAGAAGGAGUUGCAAGAUAUCUUGUUCAUUUAAAUCAAAGCCUUUUUGUAGAGUUCUAGAUUUUUAGCUGUUGUCCACAUAUUUUUUUUUUGCAGCAUUCCAGUCAGCAACAUCCACGAUUUAGCAUUUUCACUUCAUUUUAUUUGCAGUGUAAAUAAGUGUCUUAUUACAAAAUUGAAGUUGUAUUUGGACAUAUUUUGGCUGUGAAUGCAUCUUUUCUUUACUGCAAAAUGAACCUUUUUGACUUGGAAAAAUUCCCAGUUUACUUUUCCUUACAAACACUUGUCAGGGAUGCUCUAGAUCAGCAGUUCUCAAACUUUUUGGGCUCUGGAGC
Non-coding RNA from Pelodiscus sinensis (Chinese soft-shelled turtle), 2736 nucleotides. NCBI's taxonomy places the organism in Eukaryota, Metazoa, Chordata, Testudines, Trionychidae. The record is from RefSeq and is a predicted model, not a curated record.